UCAGAUCUGCCUAACUGUGUUGAACAGAGACGAGAGAACAGAGACUUGAAGAAAUGAGCAUCAGCUCCAUUCGGCAGCCCUGGCAUCACUAAAGGGAGAUAUAGUGGAACUUAAUAAGCGUCUCCAGCAAACAGAGAGGGAACGGGACCUUUUGGAAAAGAAAUUGGCCAAGGCACAGUGCGAGCAGUCCCACCUCAUGAGAGAGCAUGAGGAUGUCCAGGAGCGAACGACGCUUCGCUAUGAGGAACGCAUCACAGAGCUCCACAGCGUCAUUGCGGAGCUCAACAAGAAGAUAGACCGUCUGCAAGGCACCACCAUCAGGGAGGAAGAUGAGUACUCAGAACUGCGAUCAGAACUCAGCCAGAGCCAACACGAGGUCAACGAGGACUCUCGAAGCGUGGACCAAGACCAGACCUCUGUCUCUAUCCCCGAAAACCAGUCUACCAUGGUCACUGCUGACAUGGACAACUGCAGUGACCUGAACUCAGAACUGCAGAGGGUGCUGACAGGGCUGGAGAAUGUCGUCUGCGGCAGGAAGAAGAGCAGCUGCAGCCUCUCCGUGGCCGAGGUGGACAGGCACAUUGAGCAGCUCACCACGGCCAGCGAGCACUGUGACCUGGCUAUUAAGACAGUCGAGGAGAUUGAGGGGGUGCUUGGCCGGGACCUGUAUCCCAACCUGGCUGAAGAGAGGUCUCGGUGGGAGAAGGAGCUGGCUGGGCUGAGGGAAGAGAAUGAGAGCCUGACUGCCAUGCUGUGCAGCAAAGAGGAAGAACUGAACCGGACUAAGGCCACCAUGAAUGCCAUCCGGGAAGAGCGGGACCGGCUCCGGAGGAGGGUGAG
RNAcentral lists this small RNA (840 nucleotides) under Pongo abelii (Sumatran orangutan). RNAcentral describes it as "processed transcript". The record is from RNAcentral. Lineage: Eukaryota; Metazoa; Chordata; Mammalia; Primates; Hominidae.